This 157-nucleotide ribosomal RNA is filed under the name Secamone alpini. RNAcentral describes it as "5.8S ribosomal RNA". It matches the Rfam family "5.8S ribosomal RNA". Rfam says of the family: 5.8S ribosomal RNA (5.8S rRNA) is a component of the large subunit of the eukaryotic ribosome. It is transcribed by RNA polymerase I as part of the 45S precursor that also contains 18S and 28S rRNA. Functionally, it is thought that 5.8S rRNA may be involved in ribosome translocation. The record is from RNAcentral. Lineage: Eukaryota; Viridiplantae; Streptophyta; Magnoliopsida; Gentianales; Apocynaceae.
GACUCUCGGCAACGGAUAUCUAGGCUCUCGCAUCGAUGAAGAACGUAGCAAACUGCGAUACUUGGUGUGAAUUGCAGAAUCCCGUGAACCAUCGAGUCUUUGAACGCAAGUUGCGCCCGAAGCCAACAGGCCGAGGGCACGUCUGCCUGGGCGUCAC